This 253-nucleotide ribosomal RNA is filed under the name uncultured bacterium. RNAcentral's name for it is "partial 16S ribosomal RNA". It matches the Rfam family "Bacterial small subunit ribosomal RNA", at positions 524 to 776 of the family's 1533-position model. The record is from RNAcentral.
UACGGAGGGGACUAGCGUUGUUCGGAAUUACUGGGCGUAAAGCGCGGGUAGGCGGAUUUGCAAGUCGGGGGUGAAAGCCCGAGGCUCAACCUCGGAACUGCCCUCGAUACUGCAAAUCUCGAGUCCGAGAGAGGUGAGUGGAAUUCCUAGUGUAGAGGUGAAAUUCGUAGAUAUUAGGAAGAACACCAGUGGCGAAGGCGGCUCACUGGCUCGGUACUGACGCUGAGGCGCGAAAGCGUGGGGAGCAAACAGG